This 74-nucleotide transfer RNA is filed under the name Salmo salar (Atlantic salmon). It matches the Rfam family "tRNA". Rfam says of the family: Transfer RNA (tRNA) molecules are approximately 80 nucleotides in length. Their secondary structure includes four short double-helical elements and three loops (D, anti-codon, and T loops). Lineage: Eukaryota; Metazoa; Chordata; Actinopteri; Salmoniformes; Salmonidae. The record is from Rfam by way of RNAcentral.
GUCUCUGUGGCGCAAUUGGUUAGAGAGUUAGACUGUUAAUCUAAAGGUUGGUGGUUCGAGCCCACCCAGGGACG